GGGCCCGCACAAGCAGUGGAGUAUGUGGUUUAAUUCGAAGCAACGCGAAGAACCUUACCAGGGCUUGACAUCCCUCGAAUAACUAAGAGAUUAGUUAGUCCUACGGGACGAGGAGACAGGUGGUGCAUGGUUGUCGUCAGCUCGUGUCGUGAGAUGUUGGGUUAAGUCCCGCAACGAGCGCAACCCCUGUUGUUAGUUGCCAUCAUUAAGUUGGGCACUCUAGCGAGACUGCCGGUGAUAAAUCGGAGGAAGGUGGGGACGACGUCAAAUCAUCAUGCCCCUUAUGUCCUGGGCUACACACGUACUACAAUGGCCACAACAGAGGGAAGCGAAGCUGUAAAGUGGAGCAAAUCCCCAAAAGUGGUCCCAGUUCGGAUUGUGGGCUGCAACCCGCCCACAUGAAGUCGGAAUUGCUAGUAAUGGCAGGUCAGCAUACUGCCGUGAAUACGUUCCCGGGCCUU
This 461-nucleotide ribosomal RNA is filed under the name uncultured bacterium. RNAcentral describes it as "bacterial SSU rRNA". It matches the Rfam family "Bacterial small subunit ribosomal RNA", at positions 917 to 1382 of the family's 1533-position model. The record is from RNAcentral.